Molecule: ribosomal RNA, 402 nt
Filed under: uncultured bacterium
Lineage: Bacteria
Description: bacterial SSU rRNA
Rfam family: Bacterial small subunit ribosomal RNA
Source: RNAcentral
UGGGGAAUAUUGGACAAUGGGCGAAAGCCUGAUCCAGCCAUGCCGCGUGGAUGAUGACGGCCCUAGGGUUGUAAAGUCCUUUCGACGGGGAAGAUAAUGACGGUACCCGUAGAAGAAGCCCCGGCUAACUUCGUGCCAGCAGCCGCGGUAAUACGAAGGGGGCUAGCGUUGCUCGGAAUCACUGGGCGUAAAGCGCACGUAGGCGGCUUUCUAAGUCAGGGGUGAAAUCCUGGAGCUCAACUCCAGAACUGCCUUUGAUACUGGAGAGCUUGAGUUCGGGAGAGGUGAGUGGAACUGCGAGUGUAGAGGUGAAAUUCGUAGAUAUUCGCAAGAACACCAGUGGCGAAGGCGGCUCACUGGCCCGAUACUGACGCUGAGGUGCGAAAGCGUGGGGAGCAAACA